This is a long non-coding RNA of Hippoglossus stenolepis (Pacific halibut), 374 nucleotides long. RefSeq lists it as uncharacterized. NCBI's taxonomy places the organism in Eukaryota, Metazoa, Chordata, Actinopteri, Pleuronectiformes, Pleuronectidae. The transcript has 3 exons. The record is from RefSeq and is a predicted model, not a curated record.
GCUGUUUGAAAUGAUCCUUGUGGUAUUUUGACCAAAGUAUGUUACAGACAUUUCAUUAAGACCCCAAGGAACCAUAUCAACUUGUGGUAAAAUGGGCAUGCUAUGUCCCCUUUAAGUAUUGUCAUGGACAUCAGCACUCAUUGGAUCAGCCGCUGCAGUUUUCCUCGCUGUGACUCUCCUCUCCGUGUUCCUACUGAUCAGAAGAAAGAGAAACUCUCAGCAAUCUGCUGAUCCUGGGGACAGACUUGACCACAGUGAGCAGUGUCUACCCAUUCAGUCUGAGGAAAACUGUGACCUUCACUAUGCUAGUGUCCACUUCAUGAAGAGACAGACGGAUCCUGUCCUCCAACAUCGGAUCAACUGAACCCAGCAAA